GGAUCAAGAUUCUCAUUACUACAUGGGCAGGAAUAGAAACACACAUUCAACAUUUGGUCACAGCAGUACGUUGCCAAGUGACCUAGACCAGAACACGCAUCACAUCCACAUCUGACUGGAUCUGGUUCUAGGUAGCCCUGUCAUAAAAUCUAUAGUAAUACACUCUCAUUUUUAUUCUAGAAUAGGUAAAGGUAGGAGCAAACCACCUGGUUUCUAGUGAUCAAUCUUAACUUUUUGAUAUGUGAGACAUUUGCUAACAAAUUCAAAGAUAUCUUUCUUUAAUCCUAUCCACUAGUGCUGAGAUAUCAUAUUC
This 313-nucleotide long non-coding RNA is filed under the name Carica papaya (papaya). RNAcentral describes it as "long non-coding RNA (CPAP_LNC012932)". The record is from RNAcentral. Lineage: Eukaryota; Viridiplantae; Streptophyta; Magnoliopsida; Brassicales; Caricaceae.